This 562-nucleotide long non-coding RNA is filed under the name Mytilus galloprovincialis (Mediterranean mussel). Lineage: Eukaryota; Metazoa; Mollusca; Bivalvia; Mytilida; Mytilidae. The record is from RNAcentral.
CCCCUUCUACAUACACUUUUUAAUUUAAUAAAAAAUAUUCCAUUAUGUAAGCAAUACAUAUACAAUCUGUAAAUUAUGCUUUUAAUGUGUAUCUCAUAAUAUUGUGACAUUUUACUAAUUGAUGUUUUAUUGUCUAUUUUCAGUCGGUGUUCGACCUUGACUUUAAUAAUAGGUUGACCCAGUUUCACCUGUGAUGAAUUUAAAUGCCACAUGAAGUUCACAAUUGGUUUGAUAGAAAAUUUAUGUGAUAGUGGAUAUGUAAAAUUUCGUAAUCCAUGUGUUAUAGGAACUUGGAACCUGCACGUAUUAUUCAUGGAUUUACCUAGGAUUACUAGAACUGUGUGAACACGUGUUACUAUAUAUGGCCAGUCGUUGGCUAAAAAUAGAAUUGGACUUUCCCUUGCUAUAAAUCUUGUACAUAGCGAAGACUUGUGAGACAUACUAUCACGUUUUCAGUGAAUAUUUUGAUUAUUUUCAGUUGGAAAAAUAUAUAUUGGAAAAAGUGAUUAAUUAUUAACUUCACAUCAAGAAUUAUAUUUCUGCCAGAAAAAGCAGAUUCUAU